UACGAGAGCUACGAGCGUUAUCCGGAAUUAUUGGGCGUAAAGGGUGCGUAGGUUGUUCUGUUAGUCUUCUGUCAAAUUCUUCGGCUCAACCGGAGACCCGCAGAGGAAACGGCAGAACUAGAAAGUGCGAGGGGCGUACGGAACUCUAGGUGUAGGGGUGAAAUCCGUUGAUAUCUAGGGGAACACCGAAAGCGAAAGCAGUACGCUGGCGCAUGUUUGACACUGAAGCACGAAAGCGUGGGUAGCGAAUGGG
This 253-nucleotide ribosomal RNA is filed under the name uncultured bacterium. RNAcentral's name for it is "partial 16S ribosomal RNA". It matches the Rfam family "Bacterial small subunit ribosomal RNA", at positions 524 to 776 of the family's 1533-position model. The record is from RNAcentral.